UAAGUCCUUCUUCUAUCAGACCUUGAAGCGAAGGUUGCAAACCUUUAAUAGCUGGGUAAAACCAGCCGAGGCCUAAA
This 77-nucleotide transfer RNA is filed under the name Solenostomus paradoxus (harlequin ghost pipefish). RNAcentral's name for it is "tRNA-Cys". The record is from RNAcentral. Lineage: Eukaryota; Metazoa; Chordata; Actinopteri; Syngnathiformes; Solenostomidae.